RNAcentral lists this ribosomal RNA (239 nucleotides) under uncultured bacterium. RNAcentral describes it as "partial 16S ribosomal RNA". It matches the Rfam family "Bacterial small subunit ribosomal RNA", at positions 524 to 762 of the family's 1533-position model. The record is from RNAcentral.
UACGGAGGGUGCAAGCGUUAAUCGGAAUUACUGGGCGUAAAGCGCGCGUAGGCGGCUUUUUAAGUCGGAUGUGAAAGCCCCGGGCUCAACCUGGGAACUGCAUCCGAUACUGGAAGGCUAGAGUGCGAGAGAGGGAGGUAGAAUUCCAUGUGUAGCGGUGAAAUGCGUAGAUAUAUGGAGGAAUACCAGUGGCGAAGGCGGCCUCCUGGCUCGACACUGACGCUGAGGUGCGAAAGCGU